AUGGGUUUUAUCCGGGGCCGUGGAAUCGCGGAAAAAUUCCUCCAUGCCACUGAUCUUGUUCAGACUUGCUUUAAGCGGCGCAUUCCGUCAGUUGUACUCAAGCUUGACUUUCAUAAAGCCUUCGACUCAGUGUCUUGGACGGCCCUCGAUGCUAUCUUACGUGCCAAAGGCUUCCCACCGACUUGGUGCCGGUGGGUGGACCACCUAAACUCUUCUGCCAGUUCCGCUGUUCUUCUAAAUGGGAAGCCGGGCCCAUGGUUUCAGUGCCGUCAGGGCCUGCGACAAGGUGUCCCCUACCCCCCCUAUCUUUUCAUUCUUGUCGCGGAUGUCCUCAAACGCCUCAUCAUCCAGGCUUCCUCCAACGGCAUUUUAUCCCACCCGAUCGCGCCAGACAUUCCUUGCACCGUGCUGCAAUAUGCGGACGAUACGCUCAUCAUUCUCCCACCAGAUGCAGCUCAGUUGUCGGCUCUAAAGGACAUCCUGCUUCAGUUCUCGGAGGCCACUGGCCUCAAAAUAAACUUCCACAAAAGUUCCUUCACCCCCAUCCACGUUGACCCUGAGCUCUCGUCCAGCCUUGCGGCCAUCUUAGGAUGCCAAGUUGCAACUUUCCCCCAAUCAUACUUAGGCUUGCCCCUAUCCACUUGUUGGGGAACGUUGCAGAAAAUUAAAAUUUUUCCUACGGUUUCACCAAGAUCCAUCUAUGAGUUCAUCUAA
This 714-nucleotide ribosomal RNA is filed under the name Triticum aestivum (bread wheat). RNAcentral's name for it is "partial small subunit ribosomal RNA". The record is from RNAcentral. Lineage: Eukaryota; Viridiplantae; Streptophyta; Magnoliopsida; Poales; Poaceae.